GUCCGUCAGUCUGUCAGUCAGUCCGUCCGUCCCAUGAAUAUUUUUCGUCGCAUUUAUCUCAGGAACUACUUGACAAGGAUUUCUAAAAUUUGGUUUCAGGGUUUAUAUAAGUCAGUUAUACCGUGUGAUGCGUUUUCAGAUUCAUCACUCGACAACUUCCUGUUUACUGAACACUUGUAUCAUUUUACACAUAAUAGCCAAGUUGAAAAGUUUUGUCGCAUUUUUCUCAGGAACUACUUGACAAGGAAUUCUGAAAUUUGGUUUCAGGGUUUAUAUAAGUCAGUUAUACCGUGUAAUGUGUUUUCAGAUUCAUCACUUGACAACUUCCUGUUUACCGAAAUAUUUCGGCGGGG
Molecule: long non-coding RNA, 353 nt
Filed under: Mytilus galloprovincialis (Mediterranean mussel)
Lineage: Eukaryota; Metazoa; Mollusca; Bivalvia; Mytilida; Mytilidae
Source: RNAcentral